GAGGCGGGUCGGGGGAGGGCAGGGGAACGGAAGGGGUACCCGGGGAGCAUCCUAAGGGAACCUCUUCGCUUAAAAGGGCGGCCGCUGAAGUGGCUCUGAGAACAAAGGAGUUAACACUCGGACUCCACAGCCUGCGUCCCCGCCCGGUCAGCAUCGCAGGUGUUACCCAAACUCUGACGGUCCCUUUAAGAACUCACCCGGAGUCGCGCCCUCCGAAGCUGAGCCGCCCUCGGCCAGCGCUGCAGGCCCCAGCUUAUAAAUCUAUGAAGGUGUCCAGGUCCUGCCAGACUCCGCUGCAUCUUUUGCUUUCACUCCAGCAGGGUAGCAGCAUGCUGCCUGUGCCAAGGCAAUCACUAAAAGGAAAGGAUUUAAUGCUGUCAAAAAAGCUUAUGCCAGCUUAGGCUGCAGGAAGAGGAACAGUGUCAAGUAUGUUGAAAGUGGACAUAUUGGUCAGACCUCCAUGAGAGCCUAGGGGGCAUUGCUUAGCAGCACGCUUUUA
RNAcentral lists this long non-coding RNA (499 nucleotides) under Homo sapiens (human). Its description in RNAcentral is "DLG1 antisense RNA 1". Lineage: Eukaryota; Metazoa; Chordata; Mammalia; Primates; Hominidae. The record is from RNAcentral.